This 352-nucleotide long non-coding RNA is filed under the name Homo sapiens (human). Its description in RNAcentral is "HSALNT0157317". The record is from RNAcentral. Lineage: Eukaryota; Metazoa; Chordata; Mammalia; Primates; Hominidae.
UCCAUUCCUGCCUUUGAGCUUGGAGAACACUCAACCACACGGACCCACUGAGGACACACGUGUGCAGCGUGAGCAUUGCCAUCAGUGCUGCGUGACAGUCACCUCUUCUCCAGACCCUGCUUGGAGUCCCUGACCCGUCUCACCAUCACGUGAUCUCAAGUUUAUUGAAGGAAAUCAGAUGCAGCAGCAAACAUGCUUCUCAGGCUCAGAAACAAAACCCUCGCCACUGAGCUGAUGAGUGUCUCUGUGCUUCUGAACAGUGUGGACAAGGUUAAUGAAUGAGGCCCAGGCAGGCCUGUGGGCUCCUUCAAUCGGGGCAUCGAAAGCCUGGGAAGUUUUAACAGAGGCUGUU